CGGAGAUGAUAGGGUUGCGGUGGUGACGCUGGCUCUGGUGUCGACGGUGGCACUGGAGGAGGAGAGAGGGUGAGGUUAAGCAUGGGAGAUUGGAGAAUGAUGGUUUUUGGUGGAGAGGCAUGUAUGAUGAAUGUAGGGUGUUAACGUGGUGGAAGAUGAUGAUGAUGAUAUAUGAGUUUGAUGGCUCUCUCUCUCUCUCUCUCUCCCACUCUUCCCAACCUGGGGAGAUGGAGAACAACUACAAAGAUUUAGGUUUUGAAAGAUAUCAAACCUGGAGGAGGGUGGCAGAUAGAGAGAGAGCUUUUUUUCUUCUUUCUUUUCUCUUUUUUGGGUGCGAGGAAGGGUGGCUUUGUGGUGUAAUGAGAAGGAUCCUUUAAUUUCGGUCUCGUGUGGUUGGUUAUAAAGGACAAC
RNAcentral lists this long non-coding RNA (411 nucleotides) under Glycine max (soybean). Its description in RNAcentral is "long non-coding RNA (GMAX_LNC000906)". Lineage: Eukaryota; Viridiplantae; Streptophyta; Magnoliopsida; Fabales; Fabaceae. The record is from RNAcentral.